CAACAAACAUGACAGCACCUGUUCAGCCCCUUAUUGCCCCUGCACUCCCCAGCUAGCCCCAGCCAGCAAAGGGUCGCAGAAUGAACACGUGCUCCAUUCUCCAGAGCACUGGAAGUUGCUUUUCAGCUGACAUUUCCCUGAAGCAAAUCCCAGUGCAGCCGUUCAGGCUGCGGGGAUCUUUUCAAGAGCCUUUCAGGAGCCGGGGCCUUGCCCGAGGGCACUGAGUGCUGAGAGCCCUGGGCACCACCAGGACCUGCGUUGGACCUUGGGCAGGGCACAGCCUGAGGGCCCCAGCUCACAGCAUCUUUGCAAGCAGAGCUGCUGCAUUCACUCAGUCCUACUGCCCUGGAGAAAUGUGUUACUGGGAUGUUGGGGAUGACUGGAAAGUUUACAGCACUUCAUUUCUACUGGCUUGUGCAACAAGAGCUGUCCUUGCCUCAGCCAGCACAGAUGGAAGGAGCUCCCUCUCUGCAAUGCGUGACAAGACACCAUCUGAGGACGGCAGGGCGUAGUAAUAGCUGGAAACAAUGAAAACAGCCCACUGCUAAUAAUCAUUCCACAUGCAAGCUAUGAGAAAUGAAAUAGGUUUGGGACACUGUAGAUUAAUAUUUGUUGUCUGAAAACACCUUGUGCAUUAUAAAUCUUUUGUACUUUUAUUUCAAGGGUCACUUUUUUGUUUUAAAAAAUUCACAGCUACCAACCAAUGUUGAGUAUAGUACUUCAGCAAAGAAACUUCAAGCACUGCAACACGUUUAGCUAAAAAACAUCCUGAUGUAUCUGAGUGCAUUUAUUAGCCUUGGGGCUAAGAAGAACUUUCGGCAGAAUGAAACUAAGUGUAAAUUGAAACAUUCUAUACGCUCAGGAUGCUGACGAUCAUUAACACUAAAAUAAACAAACGAAAAUAUUUCUAGGCUUUUGAGAUCAUUUUUUCAAAUCAAUAAAAAAAUAUAGCUGAUAUCAUUUCAAAGCAUUUAAUAAAACUGCAAAUGUUCAGUAUAUUUUAAGAGCUUUAGCUAAAGAAAAUUCAUGAGUGCAAAGUCUGAUGCUGGGGAAAAAAAAAAGUUUCUAACGGGGAAGACAGCAGCAAUGCUUCAGCAAAUGUAGAAGCAUCUAUCCAAACUGAAAUCAUAAUGAAUGAGGAAACACAUUAUACAUAAACAUCUGAAAGAUAAAAGUAUGAUCCAUAAAGCAUACGCCAUCAAUAGCCAUAAACCCAACUAAUAAUUGCACCACAUCCAUCACGUUCAGAGAAAGGUAAAAUACAGACUCUGAGGCAGAGGACAAUAUGUUCCUGCUCACAAGUUAAAAUGGCUCCAUGCCUGCAGCAUGUACUGCAGGCCA
This 1341-nucleotide long non-coding RNA is filed under the name Meleagris gallopavo (turkey). RNAcentral describes it as "lncRNA (ENSMGAG00000022793.1)". Lineage: Eukaryota; Metazoa; Chordata; Aves; Galliformes; Phasianidae. The record is from RNAcentral.